RNAcentral lists this non-coding RNA (315 nucleotides) under insect gut metagenome. The record is from RNAcentral.
UAUGGCCGGUGCGGGCGUGCGUCUGGCAAACCUGUCUGAGUUUAUCGAAGCAGGUGUCAAAGAAGUCCACAGUUCAGCGGGGAUGCAGGAACCUUCCCCAAUGCGCUGGCGCCAGAGCGCUGUGUCAAUGGCCUCUGGCGAAGUUGCCGACGAAUACAUGCGCUAUCGUGUAGAUCCUUCUGCGGUAGCCGCAAUGAAAACCGCCCUCGCUGCGAAGUAGCGCGCAGCGACUGACCACACAGCCAUUAUCGCGCAUCCUGUUGCCCAACAAUGAUGUUUGCAAGUACCAGGCCCCGGGUUUUCCGGGGCUUUUUU